GCUCCGUAGGUGAACCUGCGGAGGGAUCAUUACAGAGUUCAUGCCCUACCGGGUAGAUCUCCCACCCUAUGUUAUUAUUACUUUGUUGCUUUGGCGGGCCGUUAGGCUCCGGCCCGACUACCGGCCCCGGCUGGUAAGCGCCCGCCAGAGGACCCAAAACCCUGAAUAUUAGUGUCGUCUGAGUACUAUAUAAUAGUUAAAACUUUCAACAACGGAUCUCUUGGUUCCG
RNAcentral lists this unclassified non-coding RNA (229 nucleotides) under plant metagenome. RNAcentral's name for it is "partial contains small subunit ribosomal RNA, internal transcribed spacer 1, and 5.8S ribosomal RNA". The record is from RNAcentral.